UUAACCCAAAUUUGUAUACAGUUGGAACAGCGCUCUUGGUGGCAAACGUAGACAAACGUUCCAACUCCAUACAAAUUUGAGUCA
This 84-nucleotide microRNA precursor is filed under the name Bombyx mori (domestic silkworm). RNAcentral's name for it is "mir-2807 microRNA precursor family". It matches the Rfam family "mir-2807 microRNA precursor family". The record is from Rfam by way of RNAcentral. Lineage: Eukaryota; Metazoa; Arthropoda; Insecta; Lepidoptera; Bombycidae.